RNAcentral lists this ribosomal RNA (523 nucleotides) under Ralstonia sp. MSB2010. RNAcentral describes it as "bacterial SSU rRNA". It matches the Rfam family "Bacterial small subunit ribosomal RNA", at positions 8 to 526 of the family's 1533-position model. The record is from RNAcentral. Lineage: Bacteria; Pseudomonadati; Pseudomonadota; Betaproteobacteria; Burkholderiales; Burkholderiaceae.
AGAGUUUGAUCCUGGCUCAGAUUGAACGCUGGCGGCAUGCCUUACACAUGCAAGUCGAACGGCAGCGCGGGCUUCGGCCUGGCGGCGAGUGGCGAACGGGUGAGUAAUACAUCGGAACGUGCCCUGUUGUGGGGGAUAACUAGUCGAAAGAUUAGCUAAUACCGCAUACGACCUGAGGGUGAAAGCGGGGGACCGUAAGGCCUCGCGCAAUAGGAGCGGCCGAUGUCUGAUUAGCUAGUUGGUGGGGUAAAGGCCUACCAAGGCGACGAUCAGUAGCUGGUCUGAGAGGACGAUCAGCCACACUGGGACUGAGACACGGCCCAGACUCCUACGGGAGGCAGCAGUGGGGAAUUUUGGACAAUGGGGGCAACCCUGAUCCAGCAAUGCCGCGUGUGUGAAGAAGGCCUUCGGGUUGUAAAGCACUUUUGUCCGGAAAGAAAUCGCGCUGGCUAAUACCUGGCGUGGAUGACGGUACCGGAAGAAUAAGCACCGGCUAACUACGUGCCAGCAGCCGCGGUAAUAC